CAGUAGCCGCGGUAAUACGAAGGGUGCAAGCGUUAAUCGGAAUUACUGGGCGUAAAGCGUGCGUAGGCGGUGAGUUAAGUCUGCUGUGAAAUCCCCGGGCUCAACCUGGGAAUGGCAGUGGAUACUGGCAAGCUAGAGUGUGUCAGAGGAUGGUGGAAUUCCCGGUGUAGCGGUGAAAUGCGUAGAGAUCGGAAGGAACAUCAGUGGCGAAGGCGGCCAUCUGGGACAACACUGACGCUGAGGCACGAAAGCGUGGGGAGCAAACAGGAUUAGAUACCCCCGUAGUCCCUGUCUCUUAUAC
This 301-nucleotide ribosomal RNA is filed under the name uncultured bacterium. RNAcentral's name for it is "partial 16S ribosomal RNA". It matches the Rfam family "Bacterial small subunit ribosomal RNA", at positions 509 to 807 of the family's 1533-position model. The record is from RNAcentral.